GAACUAAAAGAGUUGGUUGUAAUUGGUUUCGAGGGAACAGAAAGACAGAUUUACUUUGUUAACUUUGUGAUGGAAGUAUCAACAACAUUGCAGCUUGUUGCUCUAUUUAGAUAUGGGCAUGUUCAAGAAAUGGGGCGUUGGGACUGGAAAAUUGUGAGGCAGCAACACCAUUGGAAUGAUGAGGAGAAAGCCCAAAUUCUGAACCAG
RNAcentral lists this unclassified non-coding RNA (207 nucleotides) under Hevea brasiliensis (rubber tree). Lineage: Eukaryota; Viridiplantae; Streptophyta; Magnoliopsida; Malpighiales; Euphorbiaceae. The record is from RNAcentral.